Molecule: ribosomal RNA, 442 nt
Filed under: uncultured bacterium
Lineage: Bacteria
Description: partial 16S ribosomal RNA
Rfam family: Bacterial small subunit ribosomal RNA
Source: RNAcentral
CCUACGGGAGGCAGCAGUGGGGAAUAUUGCGCAAUGGGGGCAACCCUGACGCAGCAACGCCGCGUGAUUGAAGACGGCCUUCGGGUUGUAAAGAUCUUUCCUCAGGGACGAAGAAAUGACGGUCACUGAAGAAUACGCUCCGGCUAAAUACGUGCCAGCAGCCGCGGUAAUACGUAGGGAGCAAGCGUUAUCCGGUUUUACGGGGUGUAAAGGGCGUGUAGGCGGGCCUGUAAGUCAGAAGUGAACUCUGGGGGCUUAACCCACAAACUGCUUUUGAAACUGCGGGUCUUGAGUGAUGGAGAGGCAGGCGGAAUUCCCGGGGUAGCGGUGAAAUGCGUAGAUAUCGGGAGGAACACCAGUGGCGAAGGCGGCCUGCUGGACAGUAACUGACGCUGAGGCGCGAAAGCGUGGGGAGCAAACAGGAUUAGAUACCCCGGUAGUC